UGGCUGUAGUCCUCCUUCUGACCAUGCUGC
This 30-nucleotide non-coding RNA is filed under the name Rattus norvegicus (Norway rat). The record is from RNAcentral. Lineage: Eukaryota; Metazoa; Chordata; Mammalia; Rodentia; Muridae.